Molecule: ribosomal RNA, 989 nt
Filed under: uncultured bacterium
Lineage: Bacteria
Description: bacterial SSU rRNA
Rfam family: Bacterial small subunit ribosomal RNA
Source: RNAcentral
UGCAAGUCGAACGAAGCAUUGCGGAACGGAGAUUCGUCGAAGGGAAGCUCUGACUUAGUGGCGGACGGGUGAGUAAUGUGUGAGCAACCUGCCUUUCAGAGGGGGACAACAGUUGGAAACGACUGCUAAUACCGCAUAACAUAUACGGGUGGCAUCGCCUGUAUAUCAAAGGAGCAAUCCGCUGAAAGAUGGGCUCACAUAUGAUUAGCUAGUUGGUGAGGUAACGGCUCACCAAGGCGACGAUCAGUAGCCGGACUGAGAGGUUGAACGGCCACAUUGGGACUGAGAUACGGCCCAGACUCCUACGGGAGGCAGCAGUGGGGAAUAUUGGGCAAUGGGCGAAAGCCUGACCCAGCAACGCCGCGUGAAGGAAGAAGGUCUUCGGAUUGUAAACUUCUUUUAUGAGGGACGAAGGACGUGACGGUACCUCAUGAAUAAGCCACGGCUAACUACGUGCCAGCAGCCGCGGUAAUACGUAGGUGGCAAGCGUUAUCCGGAUUUACUGGGUGUAAAGGGCGCGUAGGCGGGGAUACAAGUCAGAUGUGAAAUCUAUGGGCUCAACCCAUAAACUGCGUUUGAAACUGCAUCUCUUGAGUGCUGGAGAGGUAGACGGAAUUCCUUGUGUAGCGGUGAAAUGCGUAGAUAUAAGGAAGAACACCAGUGGCGAAGGCGGUCUACUGGACAGUAACUGACGCUGAGUGCGCGGAAAGCGUGGGGAGCAAACAGGAUUAGAUAACCCUGGGUAAGUCCACGCUGUAAACCGAUGAAUACUAGGUGUGGGGGGACUGACCCCCUCCGUGCCGCAGUUAACACAAUAAGUAUUCCACCUGGGGAGUACGGCCGCAAGGUUGAAACUCAAAGGAAUUGACGGGGCCCGCACAAGCAGUGGAUUAUGUGGUUUAAUUCGAAGCAACGCGAAGAACCUUACCAGGGCUUGACAUUCCUCCCUAACGAAGAGAAGAGAUGCAUUAGGUGCCCUUUCGGGAAAG